AUUGAACGCUGGCGGCAUGCCUUACACAUGCAAGUCGAACGGUAACGGGCCUUCGGGUGCCGACGAGUGGCGAACGGGUGAGUAAUACAUCGGAACGUGCCCGAUCGUGGGGGAUAACGAGGCGAAAGCUUUGCUAAUACCGCAUACGAUCUACGGAUGAAAGCAGGGGACCGCAAGGCCUUGCGCGGACGGAGCGGCCGAUGGCAGAUUAGGUAGUUGGUGGGAUAAAAGCUUACCAAGCCGACGAUCUGUAGCUGGUCUGAGAGGAUGAUCAGCCACACUGGGACUGAGACACGGCCCAGACUCCUACGGGAGGCAGCAGUGGGGAAUUUUGGACAAUGGGCGCAAGCCUGAUGCAGCCAUGCCGCGUGCAGGAUGAAGGCCUUCGGGUUGUAAACUGCUUUUGUACGGAACGAAAAGCCUUCUUUUAAUACAGGAGGGUCAUGACGGUACCGUAAGAAUAAGCACCGGCUAACUACGUG
Molecule: ribosomal RNA, 482 nt
Filed under: uncultured bacterium
Lineage: Bacteria
Description: partial 16S ribosomal RNA
Rfam family: Bacterial small subunit ribosomal RNA
Source: RNAcentral